This is a non-coding RNA of Microcebus murinus (gray mouse lemur), 1531 nucleotides long. The record is from RefSeq and is a predicted model, not a curated record. NCBI's taxonomy places the organism in Eukaryota, Metazoa, Chordata, Mammalia, Primates, Cheirogaleidae.
GCAAUUGAAGUAUGAGGCUGCUGCCCCUGUUUUCCAGGAGUUACAGUGUAAUAAACAAUUAGACAGCAACCCCCUUGUACAUAAGCUAUUCCUAGGUGUGUGGUAUCAGCCACGUUUAUUGCUGCAGGGGUUCUGGCUGGAGAGAAAUAAUCACUGAGAAUCGGGAGCAGGAGAAGUUUUCCUUAAGAGGAAGAAAUUAAGAGGAGACUUGAAAGGUCAGGCCCAGACCCGCCAUCCUUUCACACCGGUCUUCAAACCCUGGCCAGGCUAACUGAUCAGUCUAGUUGCUGUUUAUGCCAACAUGUAGACAAUGCAAAGAAACCUGAACUCACGUUUAUUUCUGCCAAUGUAAGUGCCUGGUGGAAGCAUUCCAGAAGACGGAUGCAUAACAACAUGUGGCAUCCACAACCAGAGAAAAUAUGUCAUGCUGCUUCUCCUGCUGGUGAGUCAACUGGACGCAGAAAAAGCUCUAGAAGCUCAAGAACUAUGUUUUACUCAGACUGGCAGGAACACAUGGAAACCGGAGGUGUAGAAGAAGUGCCAUGAGGAAGAAGAGGCACAGCAAACUUCAGACUGGGAGGUCACAGGUUCCAACCUGACAUUAUCUGUAAAUAACACUGGUCUUUUUAUUGCAUGUGGCUAUCAAGUACACAAGUGGUUCUCACCUAGAUGAUCAGGAUGCCUUGGACUUGGUUAUCUGACACCUUCUGUUGCCAGGUACUCCACUUGAAAUGGCAGCCAAAUUAUGAACUUGGGCUCUUUUGUUCAUAAAGUGGUACCAAGCAAACAUACUAGACAUGUUAUUUAAAAAAAAAAAAAAAAACACUUGUAUAUCAGAAUUCUAAGUUCUUUUUGGUACUCAAGACUCUUUGCCCAGCAUUUGGGACUCAUGAGAUUAAAAAGGCAGUAUUUUGAAUCUCUCCGUAGUAACAGAAAAAGAGUUCAACAUCACCAUGCAAGCAUUGGGAGCACUUCAGUUAGAAGUCAACAGCCUCGCCUCUGUUGUAUUUGAAAACUGCUGCCUCCCGGAUGCCCUGACAGCCCAGCAGGGAGGAGCUUGUAUGAUUAUUGGUGAAAAAAAUGCUAUUUCUAUGUAAAACCACACAGGGCAAGCAGAGACUGUGAUCUACACCUCUUAAAAGAAAAGAUAAAUAUCCUCCAUCAGAUUGAUGAAGACCUGUUCCCAAGAACAGGAGACUGGUUUAAUGGAGUGCGGGGAAAUCUGUUCUUUUCUACUUAUUUAUUCUCAUACAUUCUCAUUCUCAACAUUCUAAUCUAUGUUCUUGUCUUCUUGUUCAGAUCUCUUGUUCCUUGACUACUAACCAGAGCCUUCUCUCCACAGCCACUGACUCAGUUGUCAAUAUGUGAAACUUCUAGGGAAGUUCCAGACUGGGGGAAUGAAGGAGCUCAGGAAAUUUCACCCCAAAAUAUGACUCCUUGAUAUUUUGAAUUAAGGCCCUUAGAGAUUAACAGGCCCUUGCAAAACAAAACAAAACAAAACAAAACAAAACAAAACAAAACAAAACAACAA